This 497-nucleotide ribosomal RNA is filed under the name uncultured bacterium. Its description in RNAcentral is "partial 16S ribosomal RNA". It matches the Rfam family "Bacterial small subunit ribosomal RNA", at positions 28 to 507 of the family's 1533-position model. The record is from RNAcentral.
GAUGAACGCUGGCGGCGUGCCUAAUACAUGCAAGUCGAGCGAACAGACGAGGAGCUUGCUCCUCUGACGUUAGCGGCGGACGGGUGAGUAACACGUGGAUAACCUACCUAUAAGACUGGGAUAACUUCGGGAAACCGGAGCUAAUACCGGAUAACAUGUUGAACCGCAUGGUUCAACAGUGAAAGACGGUCUUGCUGUCACUUAUAGAUGGAUCCGCGCCGCAUUAGCUAGUUGGUAAGGUAACGGCUUACCAAGGCAACGAUGCGUAGCCGACCUGAGAGGGUGAUCGGCCACACUGGAACUGAGACACGGUCCAGACUCCUACGGGAGGCAGCAGUAGGGAAUCUUCCGCAAUGGGCGAAAGCCAGACGGAGCAACGCCGCGUGAGUGAUGAAGGUCUUCGGAUCGUAAAACUCUGUUAUUAGGGAAGAACAAAUGUGUAAGUAACUAUGCACGUCUUGACGGUACCUAAUCAGAAAGCCACGGCUAACUACGUG